This 794-nucleotide ribosomal RNA is filed under the name uncultured Acidobacteriota bacterium. RNAcentral's name for it is "bacterial SSU rRNA". It matches the Rfam family "Bacterial small subunit ribosomal RNA", at positions 71 to 879 of the family's 1533-position model. Lineage: Bacteria; Pseudomonadati; Acidobacteriota. The record is from RNAcentral.
AACUUUCCUUCGGGAAAGAUAUAAAGCGGCGUACGGGUGAGUAACACGUAAGUAAUCUACCUUCGAGUGGGGAAUAACGUUCGGAAACGAACGCUAAUACCGCAUAAUGCAGCGGCACCUAAUGGUGACAGUUGUUAAAGCAUUUAUGCGCUUGAAGAGGAGCUUGCGGCAGAUUAGCUUGUUGGUAAGGUAAUGGCUUACCAAGGCUACGAUCUGUAUCCGGUCUAAGAGGACGGUCGGACACACUGACACUGAAUAACGGGUCAGACUCCUACGGGAGGCAGCAGUCGGGAAUUUUGGGCAAUGGGCGAAAGCCUGACCCAGCAACGCCGCGUGAAGGAUGAAGUCUUUCGGGAUGUAAACUUCGUAAGAAUAGGAAGAAUAAAUGACGGUACUAUUUGUAAGGUCCGGCUAACUACGUGCCAGCAGCCGCGGUAAUACGUAGGGACCAAGCGUUGUUCGGAUUUACUGGGCGUAAAGGGCGCGUAGGCGGCGUGUUAAGUCACUUGUGAAAUCUCUAAGCUUAACUUAGAACGGUCAAGUGAUACUGAUGUGCUAGAGUGCAGAAGGGGCAACCGGAAUUCUUGGUGUAGCGGUGAAAUGCGUAGAUAUCAAGAGGAACACCUGAGGUGAAGACGGGUUGCUGGGCUGACACUGACGCUGAGGCGCGAAAGCUAGGGUAGCAAACGGGAUUAGAUACCCCGGUAGUCCUAGCCCUAAACGAUGAAUACUUGGUGUCUGGAGUUCUUUUCUCCGGGUGCCGUCGCUAACGUUUUAAGUAUUCCGCCUGGGGA